Molecule: unclassified non-coding RNA, 169 nt
Filed under: uncultured fungus
Lineage: Eukaryota; Fungi
Description: sequence contains ITS2
Source: RNAcentral
GUACCCUCAAGCUUUGCUUGGUGUUGGGCGUUUUUGUCUUUGGCCUUAUAGCCUAAAGACUCGCCUUAAAACGAUUGGCAGCCGACCUACUGGUUUCGCAGCGCAGCACAUUUUCGCGCUUGCAAUCAGCAAAAGAGGUUGGCGAUCCAGCACGUCUUUAUUUUCUGAC